Molecule: ribosomal RNA, 721 nt
Filed under: uncultured bacterium
Lineage: Bacteria
Description: bacterial SSU rRNA
Rfam family: Bacterial small subunit ribosomal RNA
Source: RNAcentral
UCGAACGAGCAGAGGAGCUUGCUUUUCUUGAUAGUGGCGAACGGGUGAGUAACGCGUGAGUACCUGCCCUGGAGUGGGGGACAACAGUUGGAAACGACUGCUAAUACCGCAUAAGCCGGCAUCGGAAAAGAUUUAUCGCUUCAGGAUGGACUCGCGUCCAAUUAGCUGGUUGGUGAGGUAACGGCCCACCAAGGCGACGAUUGGUAGCCGGACUGAGAGGUUGAACGGCCACAUUGGGACUGAGACACGGCCCAGACUCCUACGGGAGGCAGCAGUGGGGGAUAUUGCACAAUGGGGGAAACCCUGAUGCAGCGACGCCGCGUGGAGGAAGAAGGUUUUCGGAUUGUAAACUCCUGUCGUUAGGGACGAUAAUGACGGUACCUAACAAGAAAGCACCGGCUAACUACGUGCCAGCAGCCGCGGUAAAACGUAGGGUGCAAGCGUUGUCCGGAAUUACUGGGUGUAAAGGGAGCGCAGGCGGACCGGCAAGUUGGAAGUGAAAACUAUGGGCUCAACCCAUAAAUUGCUUUCAAAACUGCUGGCCUUGAGUAGUGCAGAGGUAGGUGGAAUUCCCGGUGUAGCGGUGGAAUGCGUAGAUAUCGGGAGGAACACCAGUGGCGAAGGCGACCUACUGGGCACCAACUGACGCUGAGGCUCGAAAGCAUGGGUAGCAAACAGGAUUAGAUACCCUGGUAGUCCAUGCCGUAAACGAUGAUUACUA